Molecule: ribosomal RNA, 486 nt
Filed under: Onchidoris bilamellata
Lineage: Eukaryota; Metazoa; Mollusca; Gastropoda; Nudibranchia; Onchidorididae
Description: partial 16S ribosomal RNA
Rfam family: Bacterial large subunit ribosomal RNA
Source: RNAcentral
CCUGUUUAUCAAAAACAUAGCCUUAUGAACAGAUGUAAGGUUAGACCUGCCCAAUGUGUAUGUCAUGAAUGGCCGCGGUACUUUGACCGUGCUAAGGUAGCGCAAUCAAUUGGCUUUUAAUUGGGGCCAUGUAUGAAUGGAGUAACGGGGUUUAGCUGUCUCUAAAUUAUUUUAUUGAAAUUACUAUUCAGGUGAGAAAGCCUGAGCCGAGAAAAAAGACGAGAAGACCCUUAGAGUUUUUCUUAAGUUAAACAAUCAGUGUUUAAAGCAGUUUAGUUGGGGCAACAUAGGAGCAGAUUUUUUUUUAAUCUCCUGAAAUCGACAAGCCGAUAGUAGUAAAAAUGUAUAAACUACCUUAGGGAUAACAGCAUAAUUUUAUUAGUAAGUUUGUGACCUCGAUGUUGGACUAGGAAACUAAAAGGCUAGCCGCCUUUUGGGUAAGUNCNGNUCGAACCGGCAUUCCCACGNGAUCUAGAGUUCAGACCG